This 497-nucleotide ribosomal RNA is filed under the name uncultured bacterium. Its description in RNAcentral is "partial 16S ribosomal RNA". It matches the Rfam family "Bacterial small subunit ribosomal RNA", at positions 28 to 507 of the family's 1533-position model. The record is from RNAcentral.
GAUGAACGCUGGCGGCGUGCCUAAUACAUGCAAGUCGAGCGAACAGACGAGGAGUUUGCUCCUCUGACGUUAGCGGCGGACGGGAGAGUAACACGGGGAUAACCUACCUAUAAGACUGGGAUAACUUCGGGGAACCGGAUCUACUACCGGAUAAUAUAUUGAACCGCAUUGUUCAAUAGUGAAAUACGGUUUUGCUGUCACUUAUAGAUUGAUACGCGCCGCAUUAGCUAGUGGGUAAGGUAACGGCUUACCAAGGCAACGAUGCGUAACCGCCCUGAGAGGGUGAUCCGCCACCCGGGAACAGAGAAACGGUCGACACACCUACAGGGGGCAGCGGCAGAGAAUCCUCCGCAAUGGGCGAGAGCCUGACGGAGCAAAGCCGCGUGAGUGAUGAAGCUCUUCGGCUCGUAAAACUAUGUUAUUAGGAAAGAACAAAUGUGUAAGUACCCAUGCACGUCUUGACGGUACCUAAUCAGAAAGCCACGGCUAACUCCGUG